Molecule: ribosomal RNA, 274 nt
Filed under: uncultured bacterium
Lineage: Bacteria
Description: partial 16S ribosomal RNA
Rfam family: Bacterial small subunit ribosomal RNA
Source: RNAcentral
AUACGGAGGGUGCAAGCGUUAAUCGGAAUUACUGGGCGUAAAGCGCUCGUAGGCGGCUUGUAAAGUCGGAUGUGAAAGCCCCGGGCUCAACCUGGGAAUUGCAUUCGAUACUGCCAAGCUAGAGUAUGGGAGAGGGAAGUGGAAUUUCCGGUGUAGCGGUGAAAUGCGUAGAUAUCGGGAGGAACACCAGUGGCGAAGGCGGCUCACUGGGCCACACCUGACGCUCAGAUGCGAAAGCUAAGGGAGAGAACGGGAUUAGAAACCCCGGUAGUCC